Molecule: long non-coding RNA, 3511 nt
Filed under: Mytilus galloprovincialis (Mediterranean mussel)
Lineage: Eukaryota; Metazoa; Mollusca; Bivalvia; Mytilida; Mytilidae
Source: RNAcentral
AUACGCGGGUAGGUUAAUGCGGUUUCAAAUAAUUUUUUACAAUUUUUGGUGAUUGCAUCGAAAUCUCAUCUAUUACGUCAUUUUCGAAACUAUACGAAUUUUGAUUGGCUAAAUCGGACGUUGGGAGAAUUUGCUAUAGAGUGGUGAUUUUUUGGCUUCACCGAGGUCAAAGAUUUAUCAACUUGUUGUUUUUCGACAACGGCAUUGCGACAUUAACAAUAUCUUCAUACAUGAUCAUUGUUCCCUUGAACACUUACAGUUUUAAGUAAGAAAAUCGCCAAAAACUAAGAUUCAUCAACGUCAAUGUUUAGCUUGUCACGUCACAGUCAUUAUUAUCAGCUGUUGAGCACCUUGUCACAGAAGUCGGCACAUGGAAAUCACAAUGGAAAGGUGGAUUUAGCAUACAUUUUGAGGUAAAUACGUUGUAAAUUGUAACUCUUUAUCACCGGUACCCAUUUCUUCUUAUUGAAUUUGUUGAAGUGAAUCAAAACAUUUAUAAUUCGUCAUUUAUUUGGAUAACCGACGACGAAAACCGUUGACCUAUGAAUCAAUCAACGAAUCAAUAAAGUUAGCUAAAUGGAAACAAUGCUCGGAGAAAGAUUGUUUUAAUAUUAGUUUUAUUAGACUUGAUUUUUCCCAAGCUAACUGUUACAUAAUAAUUACAAACCCCCCCCCCCCUUAAUUCCCCCUUGGUUUAGUGUAUGCAAUAAAUUAAAACUAUUCAUUUUUUACUUUGGUAGUAAAUUAAGGGGUGCACCCCUAUAUUAUCAUACCCAGUCUACCUAUCCUUAAGCUUAGUCAUUUUUUGUUUAUACUUUUAUACACCACCUACGCAAAAUGAACAGUGUUGGUGUUUUUACAUUUUAAACAGAGAAUGACAUUGUUUCAAUUCAGAAUUAUUUUUUUUCAUUGUGAUUUAAGCAUAAAUUUUAUUAAAAUAAAACAUGGAUUUGUUUCACAAAUAGUAUUUAAUAUCCAUUGUCAUUUCUAAGUUUACAAAAAUACCAGAAUUUAUAAAAUAAGUUUAAAAGAAUAAGUUCAGGAAUUUAUAAAUGCAUGUUCAAACAAAUAAAAUGUACUAUUAUUAAAGUUAUAUUUCAGUUAUCAGGCUACUGAGAUUUUACAAAAUGAGAGAAUUUGCUCAUCUCAGUUAAUAUAUUAUCCAAUUUAAUUUUUAGUAAUAGACAUGAAAAUUUUAAAUUGAUCACCACUUUCAUUCAAUUGACAUAAAGACUAUUGAUUACUUGUAGGAUUUGCUAAUCCAAAUAAGUGACUUUAAAAGGUGUCAAUCUACAUUGAUGUAAAUAUUUCAAUAUCAUACAGAUUAAAUACCUAACAGUUUUUUUUAAGUAUCUCCUUUAUUGCCUAUUUCCUACAUGUUUAACAAAAAACUUUUGGUGUGUUUAUUGCUUUAAAAGUUUUGACUAUGCAAUUUUAUAUUUGUCUUUUGCAGAAUUUGUAUUCACUGGUUUUUUUUACUGCUUCCAAGUGAGUUGACAUGUAGGAAGUCUGCAUUUUGAUGUAAGCAUUCAAAUAUUAUAUUAUUGUUACUGACACUUUAAUAUUUUUUAGUCACAUGAAGUGAUAUGAAAGCUAUUUUAAGAUUAAUUGCUUAUGAGUUUAGAUUACUCUGUCUAUUAUAUUUAUGUGUUAAGAAAGUAAACAAGCAUGGCAAUUAUUUUAUUACAAACAUGUAAGUUUACUAUUAGUUUUACCAACCACUGCUGAUACUAAGGGCUAUAGCUAUUAAGCUUACUAAAAUUUGAUUAUAUUGAAGUUCUCUUUUUGUAUCAGAAUAAGAAUAUAAAUAAGAUAAUUGUUAUGUUCAAAAUAUUAAUAACAGGGCACAUUAAGAGCAUAUUAUUAUAUAAAUCAAGUUCAAUGAUUGAAGUAAUAGAUAUUAUGCAUAUAUAUAGCAAUGGGGCUUAUAAAUUAAUUAUAUUGUGUAUAAUAAUAUCAUUUUUUUUGCAGGAUUUUAAGAUGAAUGAGAAACAAUGGCUACUUCCAAUACAAUAGCACAAUUGAUAAAAUGAAUAAUACACAAGGACUGCACUUUUCAUUCUAAGGAAGAUCAACAAAUGAUACCCAAACAAGGAUAUUAUUUUCAUAUCAGAUUCCUGUACAUGAGAUAUAAAGAGAAAAUUCAUUUUCCUGAAAAGACAACUCUUUACUUAUACAUAUGUGUGACAAAAUUAAUGGAAUCAAGACUGUUUUAACUGUGCUAAAAGGAAUACAAAUUAGAAGUUAAUUGACUGUAUUAAAAAAAAGUGAGAAAAAAUUUACUGUAUGAAAAAGCAGGUUCAGCAAAAGGAAAUAUGUUGAAAUGAAUGAAUAACUAACUGCAAUGAUUCUGGAACAUGUGUUAGUUCAUGAUCAAACAAAGGAAAAAUUUAUAAGAAAGUGGAAUACAUAUGUGAUAUUGUGUCCUAAUUAUGAUCACUGAGGAGAGGAUGUUUCACAGAACUUUUACUUCAUAAAUGUGUCACUGUGUACAAAUUGUGAUUUCAUUCAGUGGAUAAAUUAUAUUUAGCUGUGCUCCAUGGAAUAUUAAAAUCAAAAUCAUUAAUAGUGUUUAUUAAUAAUAAUGUGAAACCAAAAGCAAAAGUGUUAGGAAUGAUGAAAUGUUUUCACAUACAAAUUAGCAUAUAGAUUCAUCAAUAGGAACACUCAUUCCCUAAUUUCAAUGAUUGUGAAACAUGUUUUAUAACAAAAACAAAAAAAAUCUAUGUUAUUUGGUUAUGAUGGUAAGUUGUGACACAUUGAAAAACAUACCACAUGAAGUAAAAUAAGUCAUAUUAGCUGCAUUUAAUACACAAUUUCAAAUCAAUCAAUCAGUGAAUGUAUAUUUUAAAUUACUUGGGUUAAAUGAAAAACUUUAAGGUUUUCAGACACUGAUCAUAGAUAUAUAUUCCCUUACAAAAACAUUCACACCCCCUUUUCAGAAAGUACCAAAUAAUGCUUAUUGAGGAGCAAUUAUCAAUAUUAAUUCAAUUAUCUAAUUACAUGAAGCUUUAACUGAUGAUAAAUAUUAUAAUAACUUUUCUUAUUCAGUUCAACAUGAUUUAAACUGAUGUCUGCUAGUUUUAUGCUGUUUUAUCCUUAAAAAUAAACACCUCAUUGAUGGUUAGCAUUGCAAUUAUAAAAGAUAAUAUAUUAUAUUGAUAUUAAUAAAAUAUAGAUAAUCAAAACAGUUGUCCAAGUUCAUGAUUUUUCUAAUUUAUACAGAUUUAGGCCACAGAUUCAUUAAUUGGGAUCUGAACUGGGGGGUGAGGGGGUUGUCAAUUAGUUGCUAUGAGAAUUUUUCUCUAUUAUUUUUAUUCAAAUAGCAUCUUUUCUUUACCCUGCAAAAUUAUUAUUAUAUAUUCUUUAAAUAAACUUUACACCCUAUAUAUACCUAUAUUUCUGUUUCCUGUACCUUAAAAAGAGAUUACAGCUAAUUUCCUAAAGCAUGUAGAGCAAGACUUAGGUUACCUUGCUUGCUUUGUUUGUAUAUUGUACAAUAAUAAUUUAG